AAAUGACUGUACCCGAAUAAGAAGGUCCGGCUAACUUCGUGCCAGCAGCCGCGGUAAUACGAAGGGACCUAGCGUAGUUCGGAAUUACUGGGCUUAAAGAGUUCGUAGGUGGUUGAAAUAGUUGGUGGUGAAAUCCCAGAGCUUAACUCUGGAACUGCCAUCAAAACUUUUCAGCUAGAGUAUGAUAGAGGAAAGCAGAAUUUCUAGUGUAGAGGUGAAAUUCGUAGAUAUUAGAAAGAAUACCAAUUGCGAAGGCAGCUUUCUGGAUCAUUACUGACACUGAGGAACGAAAGCAUGGGUAGCGAAGAGGAUUAGAUACCCUCGUAGUCCAUGCCGUAAACGAUGUGUGUUAGACGUUGGAAAUUUAUUUUCAGUGUCGCAGGGAAACCGAUAAACACACCGCCUGGGGAGUACGACCGCAAGGUUAAAACUCAAAUGAAUUGACGGGGACCCGCACAAGUAGUGGAGCAUGUGGUUUAAUUCGAAGAUACGCGCAGAACCUUACCAACACUUGACAUGUUCGUCGCGACUCUAAGAGAUUAGAGUUUUCGGUUCGGCCGGACGAAACACAGGUGCUGCAUGGCUGUCGUCAGCUCGUGUCGUGAGAUGUUGGGUUAAGUCCCGCAACGAGCGCAACCCUCACUUUUAGUUGCCAUCAUUAAGUUGGGCACUCUGAAAGAACUGCCAGUGAUAAGCUGGAGGAAGGUGGGGAUGACGUCAAGUCCUCAUGGCCCUUACGUGUUGGGCUACACACGUGCUACAAUGGUAUCUACAACAGGAAGCAAGACUGCGAAGUUAAGCAAAUCCCUAAAAGAUACCUCAGUUCGGAUUGCACUCUGCAACUCGAGUGCAUGAAGCUGGAAUUACUAGUAAUCGUGGAUCAGCGUGCCACGGUGAAUGCGUUCCCGGGUCUUGUACACACCGCCCGUCACACCAUGGGAGUUGGUUCUACCUUAAGGCAAGGUUUCAAACCCUUGACCACGGUAUAGUCAGCGACUGGGGUG
This 1004-nucleotide ribosomal RNA is filed under the name uncultured bacterium. RNAcentral's name for it is "bacterial SSU rRNA". It matches the Rfam family "Bacterial small subunit ribosomal RNA", at positions 467 to 1482 of the family's 1533-position model. The record is from RNAcentral.